GUCAGCAUGGGCACUUGGGGCAAGUUCCUUGGAAGAGGACAGCAUGGAGGGUGAUACUUCCCGUUCAUUUCUGAGUUGCUCGUGCGUACGACCCGUUUUCUUUGAGUCGCGUUGUUUGGGAAUGCAGCGCAAAGUAGGUGGUAAAUUCCAUCUAAAGCUAAAUAUUGGUGCGAGACCGAUAGCGAACAAGUACCGUGAGGGAAAGAUGAAAAGAACUUUGAAAAGAGAGUUAAAGAGUACCUGAAACUGCUGAAAGGGAACCGAAUCGUUUCCAGUGUCUAUAAUCCGUGGUAUAUUUCAUUGGCGAGUGUGUGCGUGCGUGUGCUGUGGCAGCGGCUUUUUUGGCUGCGCUCGGCGUGUGUGCUGUGUGUGCUUGCUGGUGCUCUGUGCUGCGGUGGGACGUCAAGGUCAGUUCGUAUGCUGCGGGAAAUGGCUGCCGAGGAGGUAGGGCUUACGCUUGCGUUUGUCUGUUAUAUCUUGGUGGACGAGUAGUCGCGGUUGGGACUGAGGUGCCUACAACGUGCUUUUGAGUGGGUUUGUGUCUCCGUGUGCGCCGUGUGC
Molecule: ribosomal RNA, 561 nt
Filed under: Phytophthora colocasiae
Lineage: Eukaryota; Oomycota; Peronosporomycetes; Peronosporales; Peronosporaceae
Description: eukaryotic LSU rRNA
Rfam family: Eukaryotic large subunit ribosomal RNA
Source: RNAcentral